Pelobates cultripes (western spadefoot toad) is the source of this 203-nucleotide non-coding RNA. Lineage: Eukaryota; Metazoa; Chordata; Amphibia; Anura; Pelobatidae. The record is from the annotation of a GenBank genome assembly.
GUAGAAGACAGAUUAAAUCUCAGAAAGUACCAAAAUAUCAAUCUCCAACUCCAUCAAGACCUAGUCUUGUUUGCACAAUAUACUGUGUAUUGAUAGCAUUUCACUGCAUACCCAAAGUAACAGGGCUGUCAUUUACACUCAAUGCGGGUGGGGCUCCCCUGUGUAGUAAACAGACAGUUUAGCUCAUUGAGCACCAAACACAG